GCCAGCGUGGCCUAGUGGCUAAGAGUGAUGACUGGGGAGCACAAGACCGGGGUUCGAGUCCCCGUUCGGGUU
Non-coding RNA from Caenorhabditis elegans, 72 nucleotides. Lineage: Eukaryota; Metazoa; Nematoda; Chromadorea; Rhabditida; Rhabditidae. The record is from the annotation of a RefSeq genome assembly.